GGACGAACGCUGGCGGCGUGCUUAACACAUGCAAGUCGAACGGUAAGGCCCUUCGGGGUACCCGAGUGGCGAACGGGUGAGUAACACGUGGGUAAUCUGCCCUGCACAUCGGGAUAAGCCUGGGAAACUGGGUCUAAUACCGAAUAGGACCACAGGACACAUGUCCUGUGGUGGAAAGCUUUUGCGGUGUGGGAUGGGCCCGCGGCCUAUCAGCUUGUUGGUGGGGUGAUGGCCUACCAAGGCGACGACGGGUAGCCGGCCUGAGAGGGUGUCCGGCCACACUGGGACUGAGAUACGGCCCAGACUCCUACGGGAGGCAGCAGUGGGGAAUAUUGCACAAUGGGCGAAAGCCUGAUGCAGCGACGCCGCGUGGGGGAUGACGGCCUUCGGGUUGUAAACCUCUUUCACCAUCGACGAAGGUCCGGGUUUUCUCGGGCUGACGGUAGGUGGAGAAGAAGCACCGGCCAACUACGUG
Molecule: ribosomal RNA, 475 nt
Filed under: uncultured bacterium
Lineage: Bacteria
Description: partial 16S ribosomal RNA
Rfam family: Bacterial small subunit ribosomal RNA
Source: RNAcentral